CUUCCCUUGUAGAAGAAUCACAUGGUCUGAGCUUCUAGGAUAGGAUUGCCUCCAAGAAGUCUAUGAUAUAUUAGGCACUCCAUGUGGUGGGUGUGACAUCCUUUCUGAUCAUGUGGAGAGAUGACAAGAGAAUUGUUAGAAGAAAAGAUCUAUAAUUCCUUCAAAAUUAUCUGGGUCAGGGGAGUCUGCAUAAUCUCUCCUGAUGAAAUCUGCUGUUGCACUGAUUCUUACUCAAACACAUCUGUGUCAAGGCUUGAGGGGGCUGAUAAAUCAAUGUGUUUCUUCACCACCAUGUUUAGAAACCAUGGAGAAAUGGAAAUGGAGCCAGAUAUAUGGAAAAAAUCUUACCUUUAUUGCUCGCUAAUGUUAGGUUGGAGAAUAGCUUGGGUGAAUGGCAAUGAUGUGCUGUCUGAUAGGUAACAUCAUAAUAGGAUAGAUUAUCCUAACUUGUCAGAGGUUGUGCUGCAUGCACCCAAGAUUUUCCUGAGAUGGCAGAUCCCAUGGCUACAAAACUUCAAUCAAGAGAGAGAUAAGAAUCAGGAUCCACUCCCAAAACAGAGUCAAGGGAACAGACUGAAGCACAUAUGCUCCUCUGGACCUUCCUCUAAAUUCACCAAAUGAAUCCCUCUUCCUUCCAUGGAGAGGAGUAAAAGGGGAGAUAUUCAAAUGGACCUUCAUCUACCUUCCAGAGAUGGAUUAAGUUCUUUUAAUAUUAUUGUUUUCUUUGACAUCCUUUGUCUUAUAAAGCAUGAUCAGCUAUGUGCUCUUCUCAUGAGCAGAGGUGGCAGGCAUGUAACUGUAGCCCUAAUCCCACAUUCUUGAGGCUGCUCCUUUCUUCCAUGGUCUUCCUGAUUAAUUGGGUGUGCAGUGUUGAUUUUGUUAAAAGGUCCUGAAGUGUGGUAAAAUGGCUUACAAUGAUCUCAAAGGCCACUCUGUACUUAAGGUUGAAAAUUCAUUGCACGUGUUGUUUCCUACCUAAAUUUUGUCUGGAUACAUAAUCCAAUAUGCUCAUCACUUUUGCAAUGAUAUGCAAUUAUAAGUUCAAGCUUUGCACAUUAAAGUUGAAAGACUAUGGAAAUUAACAUCCAGAAGCAACUUUUGACCUAGAAUAAACUCUCCUUCCAAAUUCCUAUGUCAUGCUCUGCUUAGGCUUACCCUGAAGGUCAUUCCAUGUAUGGCUGGGCUAGCAUCCUCCUGCAGCUGAACCUACACUUGGAAUCUCAGGGGAAUGCAUGUAGUUCUUUAGAAUUCAGAAGCUUAGGUCAAAUAUCAUUUCAUCCUCAAUUUUUAAGGAGGACAAAGAGUUCAUAGAACAUGAAGGGUAAACCUACCAAUUCCUAAUGAUAAAAUUGCCAAAAAAAUGUGUUACCCCUAAUAAAAUGAGGUACCCAAACCCUGUGGCUUGGAAUUAUUGAAGGCCACAGCAUAGA
Non-coding RNA from Sus scrofa (pig), 1430 nucleotides. The record is from RefSeq and is a predicted model, not a curated record. Lineage: Eukaryota; Metazoa; Chordata; Mammalia; Artiodactyla; Suidae.